This 460-nucleotide ribosomal RNA is filed under the name uncultured bacterium. Its description in RNAcentral is "partial 16S ribosomal RNA". It matches the Rfam family "Bacterial small subunit ribosomal RNA", at positions 338 to 795 of the family's 1533-position model. The record is from RNAcentral.
CCUACGGGGGGCAGCAGUGAGGAAUAUUGGUCAAUGGCCGUAAGGCUGAACCAGCCAAGUCGCGUGAAGGAAGAAGGAUCUAUGGUUUGUAAACUUCUUUUAUAGGGGAAUAAAGGUAUCCACGUGUGGAUUUUUGCAUGUACCCUAUGAAUAAGCAUCGGCUAACUCCGUGCCAGCAGCCGCGGUAAUACGGAGGAUGCGAGCGUUAUCCGGAUUUAUUGGGUUUAAAGGGUGCGUAGGUUGUUUUUUAAGUCAGCGGUGAAAGUUUGUGGCUCAACCAUAAAAUUGCCGUUGAAACUGGAAGACUUGAGUGUGUUUGAGGUAGGCGGAAUGCGUGGUGUAGCGGUGAAAUGCAUAGAUAUCACGCAGAACUCCGAUUGCGAAGGCAGCUUACUAAGCCAUAACUGACGCUGAAGCACGAAAGCGUGGGGAUCAAACAGGAUUAGAUACCCCAGUAGUC